Eptesicus fuscus (big brown bat) is the source of this 855-nucleotide long non-coding RNA. RefSeq lists it as uncharacterized. The transcript is spliced from 3 exons. Lineage: Eukaryota; Metazoa; Chordata; Mammalia; Chiroptera; Vespertilionidae. The record is from RefSeq and is a predicted model, not a curated record.
UCACCGAGAGUCAGGCUCCAGCGUGCUGAGUCCUGGUGGAGAUACCUCAGCGGAGAAGGCGGGAGAGUCGUGGUUCUCCGAGCAAAUACAAGGAUUUUAAACUCCGCGUCGCAACCCUGGGGACCUGCGCCAGGGCCGGGACAGGAACCGCCCUUCCCGCGGCGGCCUCUUCUCCCGCAGCUCCCGCCCCGUUCCGCCCACAGAGUGUCAUGGCGGCGCCGGCGCUGAGACGCGGGGCUGAGGUUGGCGUGACCUUUGAGGACAUUGCCCUGUACUUCUCCAGGGAGGAAUGGAGCCUCCUUGAUGAGGGUCAGAGACAGCUGUACCUGAAUGUGAUGCUGGAGAACUUUGAACUUGUAUCCUCACAGGCUCUGUGAUGUGAGCCAGCAUCUGAUCUGAACCGGAAGAGGCACUGUGGGAACCUCCAUUUGAAACCAACCGGAGGUCACAGAAGUCGGAAGUUGGAAGAAGCCGGGAACCCUGCAACAUUUGAUUAGCAUCUGAAGUGGGAUAGAAAUCGUUUUUCUUACUGAGCUCUUAACCUGUGGGAUCUGACACAAUUGUAUCUGAACUGAACUGAACUAAACUUUAGGACACACACACAGCUUGUGUGCAGAAUUUUUGGUGUGGGGCUCUCCACAACUCCAUAAACACAUUUUUUUUUCAAUAAAUUUUUAAUUGAUUUUUACAGAGAGGAAGGGAGAGGGAUAGAGAGAAUCAUCGAUGAGAGAGAAACAUGGAUCAGCUGCCUCCUGCACACUCCCUACUGGGGAUGUGCCCGCAACCAAGGUACAUGCCCUUGACUGGAAUCGAACCUGGGGCCCUUCAGUCUGCAGGCUGACACUCUGUCCACUG